UCGGGAAUUUUGGGCAAUGGGCGAAAGCCUGACCCAGCAACGCCGCGUGAGGGAUGAAGUAUUUCGGUAUGUAAACCUCGAAAGAAUGGGAAGAAUAAAUGACGGUACCAUUUAUAAGCUCCGGCUAACUACGUGCCAGCAGCCGCGGUAAUACGUAGGGAGCAAGCGUUGUUCGGAUUUACUGGGCGUAAAGGGCGCGUAGGCGGCAAUUCAAGUCAGCUGUGAAAUCUCUGAGCUUAACUCAGAACGGCCAAGUGAUACUGCUGUGCUAGUGUGCGGAAGAGGCAACCGGAAUUCUUGGUGUAGCGGUGAAAUGCGUAGAUAUCAAGAGGAACACCUGAGGCGAAGGCGGGUUGCUGGGCCGACACUGACGCUGAUGCGCGAAAGCCAGGGGAGCAAACG
This 402-nucleotide ribosomal RNA is filed under the name uncultured bacterium. Its description in RNAcentral is "bacterial SSU rRNA". It matches the Rfam family "Bacterial small subunit ribosomal RNA", at positions 355 to 774 of the family's 1533-position model. The record is from RNAcentral.